RNAcentral lists this transfer RNA (74 nucleotides) under Chitinispirillales bacterium. RNAcentral's name for it is "tRNA-Gln". It matches the Rfam family "tRNA". From Rfam's summary of the family: Transfer RNA (tRNA) molecules are approximately 80 nucleotides in length. Their secondary structure includes four short double-helical elements and three loops (D, anti-codon, and T loops). Lineage: Bacteria; Pseudomonadati; Fibrobacterota; Chitinispirillia; Chitinispirillales. The record is from RNAcentral.
UGGGGUGUCGUCCAAUGGUAGGACUCUGGACUCUGGCUCCAGCUAUUGAGGUUCGAAUCCUUACACCCCAGCCA